UCGGAGUGCUUGCACUCUGUGAAACAAGAUACAGGCUAGCGGCGGACGGGUGAGUAACACGUGGGUAACCUGCCUAAGAGAUCGGGAUAACACCUGGAAACAGAUGCUAAUACCGGAUAACAACAGAUGAUGCCUAUCAACUGUUUAAAAGAUGGUUCUGCUAUCACUCUUGGAUGGACCUGCGGUGCAUUAGCUAGUUGGUAGGGUAACGGCCUACCAAGGCGAUGAUGCAUAGCCGAGUUGAGAGACUGAUCGGCCACAUUGGGACUGAGACACGGCCCAAACUCCUACGGGAGGCAGCAGUAGGGAAUCUUCCACAAUGGACGCAAGUCUGAUGGAGCAACGCCGCGUGAGUGAAGAAGGGUUUCGGCUCGUAAAGCUCUGUUGUUGGUGAAGAAGGACAGGGGUAGUAACUGACCUUUGUUUGACGGUAAUCAAUUAGAAAGUCACGGCUAACUACGUGCCAGCAGCCGCGGUAAUACGUAGGUGGCAAGCGUUGUCCGGAUUUAUUGGGCGUAAAGCGAGUGCAGGCGGCUCGAUAAGUCUGAUGUGAAAGCCUUCGGCUCAACCGGAGAAUUGCAUCAGAAACUGUCGAGCUUGAGUACAGAAGAGGAGAGUGGAACUCCAUGUGUAGCGGUGAAAUGCGUAGAUAUAUGGAAGAACACCGGUGGCGAAGGCGGCUCUCUGGUCUGUUACUGACGCUGAGGCUCGAAAGCAUGGGUAGCGAACAGGAUUAGAUACCCUGGUAGUCCAUGCCGUAAACGAUGAGUGCUAAGUGUUGGGAGGUUUCCGCCUCUCAGUGCUGCAGCUAACGCAUUAAGCACUCC
Molecule: ribosomal RNA, 827 nt
Filed under: uncultured bacterium
Lineage: Bacteria
Description: bacterial SSU rRNA
Rfam family: Bacterial small subunit ribosomal RNA
Source: RNAcentral